GAAACACGGACCAAGGAGUCUAGCAUGUGCGCGAGUCAUUGGGACUCUGUUAAACCUAAAGGCGCAAUGAAAGUAAAGGUCCGCCUCGCGCGGACCGAGGGAGGAUGGGCCCGUCCACGGACGGACCCCGCACUCCCGGGGCGUCUCGUCCUCAUCGCGAGGAGAGGCGCACCCAGAGCGUACACGCUGGGACCCGAAAGAUGGUGAACUAUGCCUGGUCAGGACGAAGUCAGGGGAAACCCUGAUGGAGGUCCGUAGCGAUUCUGACGUGCAAAUCGAUCGUCGGAACUGGGUAUAGGGGCGAAAGACUAAUCGAACCUUCUAGUAGCUGG
Molecule: ribosomal RNA, 332 nt
Filed under: Nanos bimaculatus
Lineage: Eukaryota; Metazoa; Arthropoda; Insecta; Coleoptera; Scarabaeidae
Description: eukaryotic LSU rRNA
Rfam family: Eukaryotic large subunit ribosomal RNA
Source: RNAcentral